CCGUCCACAGGCAGAGACCAUUUGGAGAUUUCUAUGAAGUGCGUGGAUUGUGUUUGGGCUCGGGCUCGGGAGAAUUAAAGGUGUCUUCGGGCGUGGGAGUUGGUUAGGGAAGUGUGGGAAUGAAACAGGAGAGCGAGAGAGAAGACAGAAUUGCUUUGAUUUAAGAAUAAUAAGAGAGGACCGAGUUUGAGAGAAAGACGGGGGGUAGGAGGAGAGAAGGAUCAGGAAGCAAAAUGCGAUAGAGUGAAAACGGUUGAAUGAGGGGCAAACAAGACGCAGGAUAAGUGAAAGAAGAGGGGAAAAACAGAAGACGAAGCUGUGCUUGGGAGAGAAAGAGGGGACAACUUGAAGAGGCAAUUGGAAGAAAAUGCGCCUGAAGAAAAAACGUUUUGAUUGCAAAUGUGAGACGUGUGAGUGACUGAGUGUGCGCGGAGAGAAAGCAAGCAUUUAACUUGGGUGAGAGAGAGUGGGGAGUUGAGAGAAAGGAGGGGGAGAGAUAUUUGCAUUGUUUAUUACAGGCGGUGGGUAGGUGAGAGAGGGGGAGGAGGAGGAGGAGGAGCAGGCGAGCGAGAUCAGUUUACUCAUUCAGAGAGGGACAGAGAGAAGGGGACAGCGAAACCCAAGGAGCCGCUGCCAUUGUACCAGACCGCACUUCAGUCCACGAAAAGACGUCUAAUUUAUUUGAAGAGCAAUAACGCACUGCACACGGACCACGCAUUCACAGCCUCCUUUUAUUCAACAGCGUUUCCUAAACUUCAUGGUGAUGCGCUGCGAGGGUUCAGUCUAAUCGGAUGUUUCUCCAGGACUGUUUAUAUGCUUGUCCGUUUGUUUGGCAAUAGCAGGCAUGCUGUAUAAUACAAACCAGAUUGGAGAUUAUUAAACCCAAUCCAGCGCUUGGCACACUGGGAAUGGGAUAUUUCUGACGCAUCUGUUUGAGAUAACUCGGAGUCGAAUUUGCUGGAAUAUGAAUCAGAAACAGAUCUAGGUUUUUUGUAAUACAACGCUUUCAGCAGUGAGAUUGAGGAACAAGUCGCGGUCACAUAUUUUCAACAAUAUUUGGUCCGUCAGUUAACGUGGGAUUUUAAAGAAGUGUUCUGAGAUUAACAGCUGUACUGAUCAUUAUCCGUGCAUUUAAAAAAAGGACGCGAUCAAACUAAACACAACUUCGCGUGCGAGUUUUUACAUUCUCGUGUAUUAGUGCGGGUGUUUAGGGUAUUAAUUAAAAAAAAACUAAUGAAAAAUGUGAAUGCAUUUCGUGCAGGGAAGGUGACUCGUCUUUAAACAAGCUAAAAUAAAACUAUACCUAAAUAUUCUCUUUAUUAUUUAAAUAGACAAUGUAUAUAUUUAAAAUGUAUACUUUUAUAAUAGCUGUAUAAUACAGAGCCCUUAAAACGUCUACACGAUUUUACAACAUGAACCAUACGCAUUUAUAGUUUUAAAUUAAAGAAAGUCGGCAUUUAUUACGCUUCGGAUUAUUUAUAAUAGCGUCAAAAUAAAAAACAACAACAACUUUUUUUAAAACAAAUACCCUGAAGCAACGCUUUUUUGUCCCAGACGCAGCUCGCGUUCCCUUCGCUGUUCUUUCAGAGCGCUGGACGCGUUACUGUCUCUACAUGUCAGUCUGUGCUUCUGCGAAGCUCUCAACAUCUGUUAAUUGAAAGCGAUUUAAAGUGACGACUCUUUGCCACCGAGGCGUGUGUUACCGGCACUGGCACGGCUUCAGAAGACGCUUUCUGGCUACAUUUGGAGUUCUGACCCGAGUCAACUUUCCAAUCCUCUUUGGAUGGACUGGAGAAGCCGCCCGGCUGUGGAUUCUGAUUUCAAACCAUUCCACUCGGAUUUUCCAGCCUUGGCGUGUGAUUUGCGGGGACCCGCGCUAUUGAUCGGAAUGAGAAGCUGAUUGAAGUCCAGUUUUGAAAAGCAGACUCCGGUACGAAGUUCCAGCGAGCGCGUCUCCCCUGUCCUGACUCCAGCAUCUUCUCCUCUCUGCAGUUCCAGCGAGCGCGUCUCCCCUGUCCUGACUCCAGCGUCUCCUCCUCUCUGUGGUUCCAGCGAGCACGUUUCCCCUGUCCUGACUCCAGCGUCUCGUCCUCUCUGUGGUUCCAGCGAGCACGUCUCCCCUGUCCUGACUCCAGCGUCUCCACCUCUCUGUGGUUCCAGCGAGUGCGUCUCCCCUGCAAUGACUUUGCAGCUCCGGCUCUGACUGGGAGAUGGGAUUGGGGACUCUCUGGAUUCUGAGUUUCAUCACUGGAGCAGCUCACUGCCUUUCAGCUCCAGUGCAGGGUGUGGAGUCUGUGGUUCGCUCCAGGGUGGGGGGCUCGGCUGUCCUGGGCUGUAACCUGACCCCCCCCUCGGCCCCCCUUCCCUUCCCCCUGCAUGUCAUCGAGUGGGUGCGGCUGGGCUGGGCUGUGCCCGUCUUCAUCAAGUUCGGGUUGUACUCUCCCCGCGUGCACCCCAACUACCAAGGUGAGAGCCGCUUGCAAGACCCUCCUUUAUCUCUGAGCAGGGCUGGCUGAGCAGAGGAGGAGUCAUGAUGGUGGCUGCCACUCCACUCCACCAGCGCUUGUGUUCUCCACCUCAGGCAGGGGGUGGCGCUGUCGCUGAGGAUUCCCAGUUCCUCGCUGUAGCCUGCAUGCAAACUAGCUUGGAGCUGGAAUCGGGUCAGGGAGUGUUUGAAUGGGGUUCAGAAGCAUUGAUUCCUCCGAACCCCCUUGAGUUUGGCUUGGAGAAUCUAGAAGGGUCUUCACAGAGCGGAGUGCACCAUAAAACACCCUGUUAAUAGAGGAAGGGACCUCCGUUGUGUGCAGCUGGUUCUGUAGAUUAACAGGCUGUCUUCAG
Acipenser ruthenus (sterlet) is the source of this 2838-nucleotide long non-coding RNA. RefSeq lists it as uncharacterized. The record is from RefSeq and is a predicted model, not a curated record. The transcript is spliced from 3 exons. NCBI's taxonomy places the organism in Eukaryota, Metazoa, Chordata, Actinopteri, Acipenseriformes, Acipenseridae.